AUUGAACGCUGGCGGCAUGCCUUACACAUGCAAGUCGAACGGUAACAGGUUAAGCUGACGAGUGGCGAACGGGUGAGUAAUGUAUCGGAACGUGCCCCAUCGUGAGGGAUAACUUCUCGAAAGAGCAGCUAAUACCGCAUACGAUCUGAGGGUGAACGCGGGACAUGGCAAAGCCGCGCACCAUUGGACCUGCCGAUAUCAGAUUAGGUAGUUGGUGAGGUAAAGGCUCACCAAGCCGACGAUCUGUAACUGGUCUGAGAGGACGACCAGCCACACUGGGACUGAGACACGGCCCAGACUCCUACGGGAGGCAGCAGUGGGGAAUUUUGGACAAUGGGCGCAAGCCUGAUCCAGCCAUGCCGCGUGCGUGAAGAAGGCCUUCGGGUUGUAAACCGCUUUUGUCAGGGAAGAAAAGGUUCUGGCUAAUACCUGGGACUCAUGACGGUACCUGAAGAAUAAGCACCGGCUAACUACGUG
RNAcentral lists this ribosomal RNA (477 nucleotides) under uncultured bacterium. RNAcentral's name for it is "partial 16S ribosomal RNA". It matches the Rfam family "Bacterial small subunit ribosomal RNA", at positions 30 to 507 of the family's 1533-position model. The record is from RNAcentral.